RNAcentral lists this ribosomal RNA (155 nucleotides) under uncultured bacterium. Its description in RNAcentral is "partial 16S ribosomal RNA". It matches the Rfam family "Bacterial small subunit ribosomal RNA", at positions 355 to 507 of the family's 1533-position model. The record is from RNAcentral.
UAGGGAAUAUUGGUCAAUGGGGGCAACCCUGAACCAGCCAUGCCGCGUGCAGGAUUAAGGCCCUAUGGGUCGUAAACUGCUUUUGUACGGGAAGAAAUCACGCUACGUGUAGCGUGUUGACGGUACCGUGAGAAUAAGGAUCGGCUAACUUCGUG